Molecule: long non-coding RNA, 692 nt
Organism: Drosophila montana
Lineage: Eukaryota; Metazoa; Arthropoda; Insecta; Diptera; Drosophilidae
Exons: 3
Source: RefSeq, a predicted model, not a curated record
GUCCAUUCAAUUUUAAAAAAUAGACAAAAUUGGUAACAAAACCUAUAAAAAUAUAAUUUUGGCCCUUUACGACCAAAUUACAUUUUCGGCUUGCAUAUCCUUUAAAUUACUGCACGAUCAUUUCAAACAAAAUGCAUAUACUAGUUAUAACUCCGGCUGGCAAGACGGUAAAGGUCGAUAUUGGCGAUGAGCCCGACCACAAGGAUGUGAAUCACGACCGAAUAAUACCGCUGGGCGAUAAAAAAUUGCUGGAUAAGUUCCCAACAACCCCGGACCAGUCACCGAUUCAGAUAGAGAAACAGCCGAAAUAUCCAGGCCAGGCAUCCGUGCAUUUCUCAAGCAAUUCAUAGCACGUCGAUGUCGUUAAAAGAUGUUUUCGUUGUGCGGUAGCUGCUUAAGGGAAAACCUACGGCACACUUGCCUGUAUAUUGGUUCCGCCAAGUUAAAUAAUUGAUACAUGCUGAUUUUUUAUCGGAAUACACAAGUAAAUGAAGGCGAUAAGUUUCGAGUCAAUAUAUCAGCAGCUUGAAAGCGGAAUAUAAAGAAAUACUUGGGAAAACUGAGUAGCAUGCAGCAUAUGUGCAAAGUUAGCAACAACAACGUACAAAUCUUGUAAUUUUAAUGUAUAUCCUUAGCUCCUUUGAGCAUAGAGGAACAUUUCUAUAAAAUAAACCAACCUACCAAAAAGAUUA